Molecule: long non-coding RNA, 460 nt
Organism: Spinacia oleracea (spinach)
Lineage: Eukaryota; Viridiplantae; Streptophyta; Magnoliopsida; Caryophyllales; Amaranthaceae
Exons: 2
Source: RefSeq, a predicted model, not a curated record
CCGCCGACACCAAAACCCUAAAAAAGAAAAAGAAAAACGAACACCUCUCGUCGAUCAGUUGCUCGAUCUUAGUCUGGUACCUUCGAAAUUCUCAUGGUACCUUCAACCCUCCAUUGAAAUCGAAAUUCUCACAGUACCCUCUGAAUUGCGGAAGAUUACAAGCUUUCUCACUUUCACCAGGUCCGUGAUGCGUUUGGAGAUUAUGGUGGUUGAAGAAAGGAAUCAAAGCUCCUUCAACAUUGAAGCCCAUCUUCUUGAAUUUAUAGGCUUUGAAUUGCCUUUCUUUUGAAGAUGAUAUUUUAGAAUAAUAGGUCAAUUGGAGUUGUAAUAUACAUUGAAGACGUUAUGCGCUUGUGUUUUGGUAUACUAGGUAAAUAGUUUGGAUCAUAUGUAAACUUUGAUGAUAUGUUUAUGACGUAUUAUUAUAUAAUUUAAUAUAAGUAUAUAUAUCUUUAAGUUA